GCGUUACGAUGUCGAUUUGGAGGUUGUGCCCUUGAGGCGUGGCUUCCGAAGCUAACGCGUUAAAUCGACCGCCUGGGGAGUACGGCCGCAAGGUUAAAACUCAAAUGAAUUGACGGGGGCCCGCACAAGCGGUGGAGCAUGUGGUUUAAUUCGAUGCAACGCGAAGAACCUUACCUACUCUUGACAUCCAGCGAAUCCUGUAGAGAUACGGGAGUGCCUUCGGGAACGCUGAGACAGGUGCUGCAUGGCUGUCGUCAGCUCGUGUUGUGAAAUGUUGGGUUAAGUCCCGCAACGAGCGCAACCCUUAUCCUUUGUUGCCAGCGGUUCGGCCGGGAACUCAAAGGAGACUGCCAGUGAUAAACUGGAGGAAGGUGGGGAUGACGUCAAGUCAUCAUGGCCCUUACGAGUAGGGCUACACACGUGCUACAAUGGCGUAUACAAAGAGAAGCGAACUCGCGAGAGCAAGCGGACCUCAUAAAGUACGUCGUAGUCCGGAUUGGAGUCUGCAACUCGACUCCAUGAAGUCGGAAUCGCUAGUAAUCGUGGAUCAGAAUGCCACGGUGAAUACGUUCCCGGGCCUUGUACACACCGCCCGUCACACCAUGGGAGUGGGUUGCAAAAGAAGUAGGUAGCUUAACCU
Molecule: ribosomal RNA, 640 nt
Filed under: Edwardsiella tarda
Lineage: Bacteria; Pseudomonadati; Pseudomonadota; Gammaproteobacteria; Enterobacterales; Hafniaceae
Description: bacterial SSU rRNA
Rfam family: Bacterial small subunit ribosomal RNA
Source: RNAcentral